Molecule: ribosomal RNA, 492 nt
Filed under: uncultured bacterium
Lineage: Bacteria
Description: partial 16S ribosomal RNA
Rfam family: Bacterial small subunit ribosomal RNA
Source: RNAcentral
AGUGAACGCUGGCGGUAGGCCUAACACAUGCAAGUCGAACGGCAGCACAGUAAGAGCUUGCUCUUACGGGUGGCGAGUGGCGGACGGGUGAGGAAUACAUCGGAAUCUACUUUUUCGUGGGGGAUAACGUAGGGAAACUUACGCUAAUACCGCAUACGACCUACGGGUGAAAGCAGGGGAUCUUCGGACCUUGCGCGAUUGAAUGAGCCGAUGUCGGAUUAGCUAGUUGGCGGGGUAAAGGCCCACCAAGGCGACGGUCGGUAGCUGGUCUGAGAGGAUGACGACCGCCUGGGAAAGGGAGACGCGGCAGAGGGUCCGAGGGACGGCAGAGGCGGGGAAUGGUGGAAGAUGGGGGGAAGCUUGCACAAGCGGUGGCGGGUGGAUGAAGCAGCGCUGCGUGUGGGAAGACCGUUUUGGGGUGAAAAAACGCCAGCAGGAGAGGCCCAGCUUGUGGUGACGGUACCUAAAGAAGAAGCACCGGCUAACUUCGUG